Electrophorus electricus (electric eel) is the source of this 119-nucleotide ribosomal RNA. The record is from Ensembl. NCBI's taxonomy places the organism in Eukaryota, Metazoa, Chordata, Actinopteri, Gymnotiformes, Gymnotidae.
GCUUAUGGCCACACCAGCUUGAGAACGCCCAAUCUCCUCUGACCUUGGAAGCUAAGCAAGUUUGGGCCUGGUUAGUACUGAGUUGGGACCCUACCUAGGAAUACCAGGUGCUGUAGGCU